CCUACGGGAGGCAGCAGUGGGGAAUAUUGGGCAAUGGGCGCAAGCCUGACCCAGCAACGCCGCGUGCAGGAAGAAGGCCCUCGGGUUGUAAACUUCUUUUGUCAGGGACGAAGAAAGUGACGGUACCUGCCGAAUAAGCCACGGCUAACUACGUGCCAGCAGCCGCGGUAAUACGUAGGUGGCAAGCGUUAUCCGGAUUUACUGGGUGUAAAGGGCGUGUAGGCGGGACUGCAAGUCAGAUGUGAAAUUCCAGGGCUCAACCCUGGAACUGCAUUUGAAACUGUAGUUCUUGAGUGAAGGAGCGGCAGGCGGAAUGCCGUGUGUAGCGGUGAAAUGCGUAGAGAUACGGAGGAACACCAGUGGCGAAGGCGGCCUGCUGGACAUUAUCUGACGCUGAGGCGCGAAAGCGUGGGGAGCAAACAGGAUUAGAUACCCCAGUAGUC
RNAcentral lists this ribosomal RNA (443 nucleotides) under uncultured bacterium. RNAcentral describes it as "partial 16S ribosomal RNA". It matches the Rfam family "Bacterial small subunit ribosomal RNA", at positions 338 to 795 of the family's 1533-position model. The record is from RNAcentral.